AUCUUGCCUUCCUCUGCCUUUCAGGCUACAAUUGGGCAGGGUCCUCAGGAAAAAAAAAUCAUAUUUGGGAGGCAAAAAUCUUCAGGUUAGCCAGAAAUAGCCCAGCCCCAAGCCAAGCUUCUUUCCAUGUCAUACAUCAGUGUCCUUGUCUCAUCUUUCAUCUCCAACUGAUACUUUUCAGACAGCUUCACUGUGUUUGCCCCUGGCUGUUCUUAUCUCUCUUUCUGAAUGAAUUAAACACUAGUAAUAGCUUCAUUUUACAGUUUUUUCAGAGAGAAUCUCAACUCCCUGCGCAGACAUUGACAGGGACAAUGACUGCCAUUACAGGUGAUAUGGUAAUUCCCAGCAAGGAGAUGAGCUCAUGGUGUCUCAAACCUUUAUCUCGAGGAUAAGAUGCCCCCUUUACACACAUGCUCCAGGUGCAACCAGGACACCUGCUAUUCCAGCAGGCAAUGACAUUUGUGUGUUGAUUUGGUCUUCUGUCAUCUACUAAAGGCCUCUAUGGAGACAACUCUUAACUACUAACUAAACUGAAAGUACCAAAACUAAUUUAAAGCUUCCUUUCACACAUAUUUAAAGAAGA
Long non-coding RNA from Phyllostomus discolor (pale spear-nosed bat), 583 nucleotides. RefSeq lists it as uncharacterized. The record is from RefSeq and is a predicted model, not a curated record. The transcript is spliced from 3 exons. Lineage: Eukaryota; Metazoa; Chordata; Mammalia; Chiroptera; Phyllostomidae.